RNAcentral lists this long non-coding RNA (1009 nucleotides) under Coturnix japonica (Japanese quail). RNAcentral's name for it is "lncRNA (ENSCJPG00005012651.1)". Lineage: Eukaryota; Metazoa; Chordata; Aves; Galliformes; Phasianidae. The record is from RNAcentral.
AUCUCGCAAUGGUAAGCGUUAUGUGCUCACCAUGGUGGAGGUAACCACUGGGUGGCUCAAAACAUACGCAGUACCCCAUGCUACCACCCGAAACACCAUAUUAGGGCUGGAGAAGCAGGUCCUACGGCAGCAUGGCACUCCAGACACUGUGCCAGCAGUUCCACUCCUAUCCCUGACACCUGGGCAAGAAGCAGGAGCUCAUGGUGAGGAUGGUGUAGAUGUACCAAGUGGGCCACCCCGCAGUGAGGGGGUCGUCCUGAGGCCACGAGGCCUGGGUUCGCUGUUCCCCUAUGAGGGUUUGGAGAUGGACUCUCCAGGCCGGGACGUGGAGCUGCUGGCACCAUCAUCUGCUGGGGAUUUUCUUAAUGAGCCUCUCAUUGAUGUUCCUGUUCCACUGGAGGGAACAGAUGCUUCGGAGGAUGGGAUGGGUGACUUGGAGGAUGGCUGUACCACCAGCAGUGAUGCUGGUCUGCUUCUCCCCUCUGCUUACGCUCUGGGCUCCUGCCCUGACAUCGAGAUUGAUCCAUUGAUGGAGACAGAGGAGGACAGUCCCAAGAAGUCCUCCGUGCAGCGGCCCAGUAGCGUAGGGAAAGGACGAGUGCACCUUGAUGUGGGGGACACCCCGCUAGAGCUGCCUUUCCCCUCCACCGCUGUCAUGUUCCUUUUCUUGGCAGUUUUGCCAUUUCUUGGGUUAAUAAUAGUGUGUUAGGUUAUGGAGUUUUGUUCUCAGCUUAAGGAUUUGCAUGAAGUGGAUAUAAAUUGUUAAGAAGAUAGGGUUGCUGAUUGCUCAUAACUAUAUGUGUGUGUUUCUGUGUUUUAUCCCCCAUUUCUGUGGUGUUUUUUUUUUCUUCUUCUUCUUUUCUCUCAGUUUAUUGUGACAUACCUGUCUUAACAGAUAAGUCAGCAGGGAGUGGUGCCUCCAUUUCCAGAUACAAGCAUUAUCACCUUCUGCAGUGGUCUGCUCCUUCGAGCAGCACCCCUGAAAAAGACUGCUUGUCCUGUUUCUGAA